This 492-nucleotide ribosomal RNA is filed under the name uncultured bacterium. Its description in RNAcentral is "partial 16S ribosomal RNA". It matches the Rfam family "Bacterial small subunit ribosomal RNA", at positions 29 to 507 of the family's 1533-position model. The record is from RNAcentral.
AGUGAACGCUGGCGGUAGGCCUAAUACAUGCAAGUCGAGCGGCAGCACAGGAAGAGCUUUCUCUUACUGUUGGCGAGUGGCGGGCGGGUAAGACAUACAUCGGAAUCUACUUUUUCUUGGGUGACAUCGGGGGGAAACUGACGCUAAUGCCUCAUACUACCUACGGCUUAAAUCAAGAGUUCUUCGGACCUUUCCCGAUAGAAUUAGCUGAUGUCGGAUUAGCUAGUUGGCUGGGUAAAGGCCCACCAAGGCGACGAUCCGUAGCUGGUCUGAGAGGAUGAUCAGCCACACUGGAACUGAGACACGGUCCAGACUCCUACGGGAGGCAGCAGUGGGGAAUCUUGCACAAUGGGCGCAAGCCUGAUGCAGCAAUACCGCGUGAGUGAAGAAGGUCUUCGGGUUGUAAAACCCUUUUGUUAGGAAAGAAAAGAAGCAGGAUAAUCCCCCGCUGUUCUGACGGUACCCAAAGAGUAAGCCACGGCUAACUUCGUG